AUGGGAGAGUUGAAAGAAGAGAAUAUGGAAGUAGCAGCAGCUAGAAAGAGCUUCAAGAAGAGCUUUAGUCGCAGUAAAAGUACCAGGUGCAUAGACGCUGCCCAAAUCAACCCUACAAAUAUAAGCUUUGGGAAAAUCUACCCGUGCCCCGAAGCAGACAAAGCACUUUUUAGAAGUUUAAGUGUGGUGGAUAUUAAUAGGGAGAGGAAGAUCGCUCAUUCUGCAUCUUUGCCUUCUCACUUGUCUACCUCUCGUCAUGAUUUUGACUACCGUUCUUCAAGACGGAUAUUCAUCGGAAGCUAUCAUUUCAACAAGAAAGUUGAAAAAACAUUAUCGUUUUCGAAGAUAAAGGAGUGGUUACCGUUAUUGUUUUCAAGAG
This 379-nucleotide long non-coding RNA is filed under the name Prunus dulcis (almond). RNAcentral's name for it is "sRNA ncRNA". The record is from RNAcentral. Lineage: Eukaryota; Viridiplantae; Streptophyta; Magnoliopsida; Rosales; Rosaceae.